AUUGAACGCUGGCGGCAUGCCUUACACAUGCAAGUCGAACGGCAGCACGGGAGCAAUCCUGGUGGCGAGUGGCGAACGGGUGAGUAAUAUAUCGGAACGUGCCCAGUCGUGGGGGAUAACGCAGCGAAAGCUGUGCUAAUACCGCAUACGAUCUACGGAUGAAAGCAGGGGAUCGCAAGACCUUGUGCUAUACGAGCGGCCGAUGUCGGAUUAGCUAGUUGGUGAGGUAAAGGCUCACCAAGGCGACGAUCCGUAGCGGGUCUGAGAGGAUGAUCCGCCACACUGGGACUGAGACACGGCCCAGACUCCUACGGGAGGCAGCAGUGGGGAAUUUUGGACAAUGGGGGGAACCCUGAUCCAGCAACGCCGCGUGAAUGAAGAAGGCCUUAGGGUUGUAAAGUUCUUUUGUCUGGAGCAAAGGUUGUAUGUUAAUAGUAUACAAAGAUGAGAGUACCAGAAGAAUAAGCACCGGCUAA
RNAcentral lists this ribosomal RNA (476 nucleotides) under uncultured bacterium. Its description in RNAcentral is "bacterial SSU rRNA". It matches the Rfam family "Bacterial small subunit ribosomal RNA", at positions 30 to 500 of the family's 1533-position model. The record is from RNAcentral.